Molecule: long non-coding RNA, 756 nt
Organism: Cyprinus carpio (common carp)
Lineage: Eukaryota; Metazoa; Chordata; Actinopteri; Cypriniformes; Cyprinidae
Source: Ensembl
AAAUCUGAUAUAGUUUGUACAUGAAACAAUGUAAUAACGGACGACCUUUGCAAGUUGCUACACAGAGGUAACUGAUGUAUCAAACAUGCGUGUUUCAGAGUAUGUUACCAGUUGCGUUAUUUUUUUCACAGUUGUUUUAUAAGCGUCCUUUGUUGGACAUAUCAUAUUUACCUUUUCAGACUCCACAUUAGUGAUUGAGUGCUCUGUCAUGCUGUAAUAUUUCAGUUGUCACGUGCAACACUGAUCAGAAUUUGUACACAAAACCAGUUCAGUAGUUUGCAAUCCUGAUUCAUAUUUGUUUGCCUUUCUAUUAUUAGUCAGCCAAGCCAGUACUAUUUUCUGUUUUGCACACGAAGUAUGUAACAGCUGCUUGAAUUUUAUUUAGCCACAAUACUGCACUAGACUUGAGGUAGGCAUCACAUGUGGAUUUUGUGCUGCAAAUACUUACAGUUAGGAACUUUGGACCUUUAACUGAACACCUAAAGCCUGAGAGUUUUUUUUUCCUCUUUAUACACAUGCACAUUUUAGGGAAAAAUGUGAGGUACCCAAGACUUUCCAGGCAGGGUCAUGAGCCAACUGACACUGAACAGGAACAAAGGAAAAGUGGGAACUGUACCAUGUUUAAGGGAGUGCUGAAGAAAGGGCGAGAGGGAGGAGGUAGAACUGGCAAAAGAGACGCAGGUAAGCGGUUUUAUUCCCAGAAGAAAGGAAAAUGAUUUUAAUAAACUGUUGCUGAAACCUUUUGAACUGUACUUU